GUUACUAUUAACCCAUUCUCUCAUACCUGACAACUAAGCGUGCAUAUACAAAACAAACAAAGCAGGGAUAUCUGCCAUCAACAAACUGGUAAACACCGAGAUAAAACACUGUGCAAAAAUUCGUACUGCGGAAAAAGUGUUCAUCAAGGAACCUGUCAGGCAUGGAACAAAUUCGAAUUCGACAUCUGUAAACUCUCACACAGCCAAGGAUUCGUAAGAAAAGGCUCAGAAAAAACUCCAUUCAAGGUUGGCAGCAUUGCACCGCUUCAUUGCGUUUCCGGAAAGCAGCACAGACAGUGCAAGAAAAUUAAAGUGCGCCAUUGGUGUGACGAAGCCGCUCCCCGGAGAAUCAGCAAUUCUCGGACGAAUCUGAAGUGUCGCUCCGCAGAAAGCCGCAGCCAGGAAAACCGUUUCGAACCCAGAAUCGGGAAGCAAACGAAGGCGGACACGCUAAGCGAGGAGUUGGCAGUCGCCGCCAAUUGGUCGUCUCAAAACCCGCCAAUCGGGAUCCGCUAAUCCGCGGACGAAAGGCAGGAAUUCGAUUUCGUGCACGUCGGACAAAGAGUGGUUAGUUCCGAUCCACAUCAAAGCGUUCGCCAAUCAGCUUAUUUCGACAAGCGGUGGGCGAGAAAACGAACAAGAUCCAGGAAAGGGGUCAGAAGCACUGACCCCUUUUUUGUUCCGUCAUCCAUCGUUUCCGGCGCACAGCACAGCAGCGAGCAGGUGAUUCAGGAGAGAUCCUGUCUCAGGACGCGGGAUUCUCAUCGAGGCGGGGUUCCUUCUGUGAGCCUUCAGGUGAAUCCAGGCGGAGAAGCAACCAUCAACGAACAAAAGCUUGUUUCGGUCGGGACCGGAAGACUCAGCCUAAGCUACAUCCAACGCCCACGCGGUCUAAGGGGAAACCUCUCAGAAGAGGAGGAAUUUCGUUGCCGACGUGGCCGGUAAUUGGUUGACGGAUGACAGGAGCGAGCAAGCGUUCCCGAAAUCUAAAGGCGCGGAUCAAGUGUCAGCCAGGACGAGCUCCGUGUGGGUGCGGUGUGCCGAGUAGAAGCAGCGGGAUUGCAUCGACAGACAGUUGGCUGGCGAAUCAGCUCAGCAGCGUGGUGGGGGUCAGCGGAAUUCCCCGAUCCAUGCUCCGAGGGAUUGACACUGCAUCGGGCAGGAAAGGCAGGGGGAUCAGGACAGCUCCUAGCGAACCCAUUCGAUCUUCAGCAGUUGGUUUUCGGCUGUGAGUGAUCCCGCCAAGACAGCACGAGCAUGGGCCAAAGCGGAAGUGAGCAUCGCAAAGAAGUCCAAGCACGGCCGAGUGACGAGGAACAACAAUAUAUGUAAGUCGCUUUGCUUGUAUUAUCAUGGGAGGGAGAAAAAUGGGUUUUAUUCAAAAUUUUAGCAACCAUUGAAUAAAGUUGCACCUAAAACUGUUUGAGCUAGAGAAUUUCAUUUCUCAAGGGACCUUCAACAAUCGAGAAGAACGUAUACACGCUUAAACUUUUUUACCUCUUUUUGAGAUAGCAUAACCUGUUUUGAAAGGAUUAUCACUCAAAAUUGAGAAAAGCGUGCUAUCAAAAUGAUAUAAAUUAACACAAUCUAAUUCAUGUGAAAAAUAAAAACAUAUUUGUUGUAUCCGCAUUCAUAUUUCAAAACAACCGCAAAUCAGUCCACAUCAUUAUUCGCUCAAUUCGAAUAAAAGCCUACUGUGAAUAAAUGGUUUUUGUGAUUCGAUAAGAAUAACUGUAUUAGAAAAUUCAUUUACAAGUAUGCCUAUUAAACUACUUGUUUUAUUUAUCCAUCUCUGCCUCUCAAUGCAAAGUUGAUCUUUAUUUACGUCAUCCAAUCCAGAACUAACCAAAUUAUUUUCAGAUCAACCGUCCUUGAAUAUUUCUAGAAGACUGCAGAAACCGGCUUCAACUCAGCAAAGACGGAGAAAUUGAGUUUCAUCACAAGCGAAAAUGCUCAUUCUAAAUCAGCCUCAACAAGAUUCAGAUGAUAUAUUCAGAAUGAAGACCACUAGCAUUGGCCGAUCAUUGAAAAUAACGAUUUAUUUAAAGCGUAAUGCAGUUCUGGUAAUAGUAAGCAAAACAUCCGAAGGACGUUUUAAGGAUCGUUUUACCGCUUCCAAUUGUUUUCCCAUACAACUGUUUUAACUGUUUUUAACUGUUUUACAUAACCUAACUACACAUUCAAAAUUCAAUCAUUUCGGAAUUCACGAAUCAGGCAAUGUUUUUACAAUUUCAAUAAUCGUUUGCUAAACGUUUAAUUACGCUUCAAAAAUCAUUUGAUUAUAAUCCUCAUUUAUGCGGGUUAUUAUUUAGCUUUGAGGCCAGGUUUUUGAUGACAGAAAAUGUUCUAUUCCAAAACAGUUUGAGAUUAUUUGAUAGCAAUAUCUACUUUUUAUUUAAAGAUAAUUGACCAUUCAUAGUUAAAAGGAAACAAAACAAAAAGUUACAUGAAUGCCUUUUGCCAAGCAACAAAUCGAAAUGUUCUCAGUUAUUCCGAAAAACUUCUCUCUCUCAAAAAUGGAUAAAUCCAUCAUGAGCGUGUAUUCCAUUAUGAGAAACGUCAAACGAAGAUGUGAUUCAAGGUCUCUUAAAACCAUUUAAAAACUGUUUAUUGAAAUUGUUUUAUUACCACAUUUUUCUAACCGGCAUAAAACCAUUUUAACACUGUUUUACAACUGCCUUAAGAUUUUCAAUAUUAAUUUAAUGAACGUCAUGUUAAUUGUGAAAUUGAAUCGAAAUUACUGACGCCAUGUUGCUGGAAAUAAUACUUUAAUACUAAAAACUAGACAUUUUCAUCAAAUUUGACAAUGUUGGCGGUACUAUUUGUUGUCUAGGUGAUGAAUUUCAACGCAAAACAAAAGUUGCAUCUUUUGAGCCAAUUUAUUUUUUUCCUUUAAUUAUAAUUUUUUUGUUUAAAAAAUGCUUAAAAUAUGGUCAACCUUGAUUUUAUUUGAGGCGCGCUUAAAUUUUGAUGCUAUUUCGUAUAUACUUUACCAGAAAUCUGAGGUUGCAGGAAGUUUCUUGCUUAGAUAUAUUGAAAAUGAGAAUGAGAAUAUUUUUAAAAUAUUUUAAAUGGAAUCUUUAUCUAUCAUCAAAUGCUUGGGAGAGUAAGUGAUAAAACGAGAAAAAACACGGAACAGAAAGCUCCCACAGUAAAAUUUAUAUUAGAUUCCACAGCUGCCACAGUAAAAUUCCUAUCAGAUUUCACAGCUCCCACAGUAAAAUUCCUAUCAGAUUCCACGACGUAGUUUUAAAAGAGCUGUGGAUAGUCUGAAGAGGGCUCUGAAAGGUUUCUUAAAGCUAUGUCUAUAAGGUCGAAUAAAACUAUUCUGUUGGAAGUUUUAUUAUAGCGUAUAGAAUUAGCUUUAAAAACGUUAACAAAAUGGGCCCUUUUGGCCAUAUGUUAGCUUUAAACACGCAGAAA
This is a long non-coding RNA of Uranotaenia lowii, 3423 nucleotides long. RefSeq lists it as uncharacterized. The record is from RefSeq and is a predicted model, not a curated record. Lineage: Eukaryota; Metazoa; Arthropoda; Insecta; Diptera; Culicidae. The transcript has 4 exons.